AUGAAGAACGUAGCGAAAUGCGAUACCUGGUGUGAAUUGCAGAAUCCCGCGAACCAUCGAGUCUUUGAACGCAAGUUGCGCCCGAGGCCACUCGGCCGAGGGCACGCCUGCCUGGGCGUCACGCCAAAACACGCUCCCAACCACUCUCAACGGGAAUUGGGAUGCGGCAUCUGGUCCCUCGUCUCUCAAGGGACGGUGGACCGAAGAUUGGGCUGCCGGCGUACCGCGCUGGACACAGCGCAUGGUGGGCGUCCUCGCUUUAUCAAUGCAGUGCAUCCGGCGCGCAGCUGGCAUUAUGGCCUUUGA
Molecule: unclassified non-coding RNA, 306 nt
Filed under: Triticum aestivum (bread wheat)
Lineage: Eukaryota; Viridiplantae; Streptophyta; Magnoliopsida; Poales; Poaceae
Description: partial contains 5.8S ribosomal RNA and internal transcribed spacer 2
Rfam family: 5.8S ribosomal RNA (bases 1-121)
Source: RNAcentral